AAAACCCCGGGGGGCCGCGGCGGCGGCCGGCCCGAGACGGCGCGCGCCGAGAGCCGCACGGGCCCACGGUCAGCCAGCCAUCAGUAAUCCGCCUCGGCUCCGGCCGGGCCCGGGAGCUCUUCGGCGAGCGAGCGAGAGAGAGAGAAAAGCCAAAAGCCGCGGCCAAUUAAUCCGCCACCCACCAAUGGGGAACCACCUCGCGUAAAAUCCCCCGCCGCUCGCCGCUGCCACCCUCCCUCCUCAGUCCUCACACUGCCCCGUUCCCACUCCCACUCGCGGCUCCGAGCCGGCGGCGGCAAUGCGGAAGGACGCGGCCGGCGGGGGCGGGGGCGGAGGCGGCAUUGCGCCGGGCGCGGCGCCCGCGCUGCUCUGCUUCGACAUCAAGCCAUUCCUCGCCGCGCUCACCGCGCUCACGCUCCUCGCCGCCGCCUGGCAACUCCGGCCCUACCGCUCCCUCCUCGCCGCCCCGUUCCCCGCCGACGCGUGCGCGCAGGCGGCCGCCGGGUCUCCCCCCCGCGCGCUCGCCGUUCACGCCAGGAAGGCCGAAUCUUCCUCCUCUGCCGCCCCCAACUCCACCGCUUCGCCGCCGCCGCCGCCGCCUCCCGGCCCCGAGGUGCGGGAGUUCCGCGCCGUGGGCAGCGCGGCGGCGCUGUUCGUGCAGAUGGGCGCCUACCGCGGCGGGCCCUACACGUUCGCCGUCGUCGGGCUGGCCUCCAAGCCCACGCACGUCUACGGCAAGCCCUGGUUCCGCUGCGAGUGGGAGCCCACCAACGCCUCCUCCUCCUCGCCGCCGAUGCGCGCUGCCAGGACGUACCACAUGCUCCCGGACUGGGGCUACGGCCGCGUCUACACGGUCGUCGUCGUCAACUGCACGUUCCCGCGCGUGCCCAACGCCGACAACGCCGGCGGCCGGCUCAUCCUCUACGCGCACCACGGGCCCUCGCGCUCCCGGGACUCCCCGCACGAGCGGAUCGUCGCGCUCGAGGAGGCCCCGGGCGCCUACGACGCCGGGGCCGCAUUCCGGCCCAGGUACGACUACCUCUACUGCGGCUCCUCGCUCUACGGCAGCCUCAGCGCGGCGCGGGUGCGGGAGUGGAUGGCGUACCACGCGCGCUUCUUCGGGGACCGCUCCCACUUCGUUUUCCACGACGCCGGCGGGGUCGGCCCCGCCGUGCGCGCCGCGCUCGAGCCCUGGGUGCGCGCGGGCCGGGCCACGCUGCAGGACGUGCGCGCGCAGGCCGAGUACGACGGGUGGUACUACAACCAGUUCCUCGUCGUCAACGACUGCCUACACCGGUACCGGCACGCCGCUAAGUGGACGUUCUUCUUCGACGUCGACGAGUACAUCUUCCUGCCUGAUGGGCGUAAGCUCGAGGACGUCCUCAACGAGCUCGAACCGUACACGCAGUUCACCAUCGAGCAGAACCCGAUGUCGAGCAGGUUGUGCGUCGACAAUCCGGACGCUGACUAUUCCAACCAGUGGGGAUUUGAGAAGCUGGUUUUCCGGAACUCGAUCACCGGCGUGAGGAGAGACCGGAAGUAUGCGAUUCAGGCCAAGAACGCAUACGCCACAGGUGUACACAUGUCUGAGAAUGUUAUCGGCAACACCACGCACAAGACGGAGCACCUCAUCCGAUACUACCAUUACCACAACACCAUCAACGUCCUCGAUGAGGUUUGCCGCGAGUUUGUGCCCAUUCCACCCAAGGGUGGCCUGACAUGGUCCGAGAAGACGCCCUGGUACUACGACGACAGCAUGAAGCGCAUUGCUGAUGCUGUGCGUGAAUUCGAGAGGAAGACCAUUGGUGAUGUGCGACUAUGACAGAGACCACAGAGAUGAAGAGCUGAUGUACAGGAUGUAUUGCUUUCAGCCAUUCAUGAGGUGUGGCAGCAUCUGUCUCCCGGAUGUUAUGAAGCAGACGAUAACCUAUGAUUUGGGGCUAUCUGAGCUGACAGAGAUGCAACGAAAGCGAAGGUGCAACCUCAAGAAAAUGGCAGAUUGUGUACCAGUAAUGACUCUGUUACUCUGGUUUGUGGCAAAGAAGUGGAUGAAGGAGAAAAAAGAGGCUUAUGGCUUCGGCAAACCCCAUGGUAACUGGCACGCCAAGUUUUUCUUUUUUAUGUUGCAGAACAGCCCAGUGCAUCCUGCUGUGGUUUCACAUUUUGGAUCUCUGCACAGUAGUGCUAGUUUGACAAAAGCAGAAUUUGAAGCAAGUAGUAGUCUUCCGCUCCUCCUGUAGCUCUGCAACUCUGCAGCAUGGUGCCAAAUAUAGAGGUGAAAUUUUUCCUGGUAGAAGGAUAGCCAGGUGGGCACAGAUGGAUACCAGCCCCAGCUCAGCUAUUCUAUUCCCCAUCCGGCAAUGCAAACAUCCAAACAAUGCCCUUGUUUUGUAGUACUGCAGCAUCAGUCCUGGACUGGAGACCAAAAGCCUCUUCUGACUUCUGCACACUACUAAAGACUCCUGCUAAUCUACCAAGAGAUUCUUCUGAGCUCCUGGAGUCCAUAGAAUUGUGCAAACUUAUCCUUAAUUGUAUAGUCCAUAGAAAACGAGGUGCCCACCCCGGUGCUGCUGGAAUGGAUUCGGUUCCAGGCUUUUUCGUUGUUCUCCCAGCACAGCAGAGGAAAAGAUUUUCAGCUCGCGGAAGGGAGCGACAAGGACCGUACGCGCAGCCGCAGCACAGGCCGCUUGUGACCCCCGUGGCCGGAAGCCGCUUUGGACUUGUGGUGCACGGGAAACUUCCAGAAAACGAACAGUACUGCGCUUGCAAAGAGUGGCCGCAAGCGGUUCAGACUUCAGACAGUCGGGUCAGAACUUGCGGGGUUUCAGGUCCCGGAGCUGCUCAGUUGAUUGUCAGUGAUCUGCCGAAAAGGCCAUGGCAUGGUGUUGCAGUGGCAGACUUAUUUGAAAUUUGAAUUCGAACAGGAGAGAUUCUUUCUGUCCAAACAGGAGUAACUGGGUCCAUUUUCCUUCCAAACGGGGUUUGUAAAUACACUUCUACUGUAGUAUCAAAACUGUAAAUCUGUCUCGGCCUGAACAAUUUGGUUUCAGGGUUGCUGCAAGGAUUGCAACGUACUGACUCUACGAUUCGGGAAACUCGUCGCAGUGCCAGUUACGCGCACUGAAC
Molecule: RNA transcript, 3126 nt
Organism: Panicum hallii
Lineage: Eukaryota; Viridiplantae; Streptophyta; Magnoliopsida; Poales; Poaceae
Gene name: galactan beta-1,4-galactosyltransferase GALS1-like
Exons: 3
Source: RefSeq, a predicted model, not a curated record